GGAAACUUAGCAACUGUGUUGUAAGCGAAUCUGCAGCGCUUUUAUGUUUUUAAAGCUGUCUUCUAAAUUUACGCUGCUUCUAUUAUCUUUCCGCGCUUUUGUCAAUAUAUAUCGUGUGUCUUGUCAUUUGAUUGAAGUGUUUGAAGACUUUGCAGCGUGCUGGCACUAAUCGGCCACCGUAUCUUAGCAACCGCAUCAUAACAAUUUGAAUUUCAUUUAGAGUUUUGAUUUGAACAUUCAAAGCAGCUCAGAUUUUCAGUUUCCCAGCAAGAUAUACGACGCGAAAGAUGUCUGCCUUGAACGCGAGUGUCUACCUCCAGAGAAUCGACUCGUUCCUGCCAAAUGGGGCCGUCAGUGUCCGGAUUGCUCCGGAAGACAUCCCCGGUUCAGUCAGCCAUGGACGAACCAGUACCAGCAGUGGAGGCCGUCAGAAGAAAUGCCGCACUGGGCCACCGGCACCCAGCUCCCAAACCAUAUCUGGAUCUGCUCCCAUCCCGUUGGCGACCAGCAGGGCUCAGCAGGGCAGAAGACGCCGUAGAAAUACGGCGGGAGGCCGGUCAGGCCGUAGAAAGAAGUGUAAAAAACAGAAGGGGCCAUUUACAAAAAAUUUGCAGAACCUGCUAACCUUCAGUAACCCCUUUGAUUCAAUCCAGGUGGGUGACAAGAUCCCGUGUGUGGAUCUCACCCAGAGUGACGACGAGGUUGCUACCAUCCUGUGUCGCACUCCAUCAAUGUCAGAGCCUGAGCCCUGCUCACCAGCCUUCUCCUCCACUUCCUUCUUAUUUCCAUCACCAGUCCCAUCCUCUUUUGCCUCCUCUCCAUCCCCAUCUUUUUUUACAGACUCUCCUCCUCCGUCACCAUGUGUAGUCUCACCUGUAAGCCCAUCUCCACACCCAUCUUCACCUCCAGCCACAGUUCAUCCCACCCCUCUGUAUCAGGUUCCAGCGCAAGCUGCAGCCCCCUCAUCUGAGCUGGUUACGGGUCCGACACCCCUACUUAUUUCCCCUUCUGUUGUUUUUGAGAAAAUGGAAAGAUUCAAUAAGAUGCAUAACUUUUAUCUAUGCAACUAUUCUAAAAUGACCUAUGAUGCCAAGUGCCUUGCUCAUUACUGGUGUAAUCAGUUUUGGAAUGAUUUUCAACAUGCAGUUUACAUCUGCAAGCAGGGGAAGAAUCAAAAUUCAGAGAAUCACUACUCAUAUGGUGAUAAUGAGGGUGCCCAAGCUGAGCUGAUAUUUGAUGAUGAGGCGCUGGAUCAGCUAAGUGCCAUCCCCGGGGUCCUGGAGAUGGCUGUGGAGAUGGGCUAUCUUGUGUGAUGUAAAUAGUUUUUUUAUAGAACCUGUAAAUAAUUAGGUGAGAGAUCUCACAAGUACUUAGGAUAAGAUAAGAUUAAGGUAGUUUAACCUUAUCUUAACUAAUCCUAAGAUUGUAUGAUAUAAGAUUACAUAGGAUAAGACUAAGGAUAGCUUAAGAUAAGAUAGUAUAGAAUAAGAUAAGCCUAAGAUAGGAUAAGUUAAGGUUAAACUAAGAUAAUAUGACAUAAGAUUACAUAGAAUAAACUAAGAAUAGGUUAAGAUAAGAUUGUAUAUAACGUAAGAUAGUAUAGAAUAAGAUAAGACUAAGAUAGGAUAAGUUAAGGUUAAACUAAGAUAGUAUGACAUAAGAUUACAUAGGAUAAGACUAAGAAUAGGUUAAGAUAAGAUUGUAUAUAACGUAAGAUAGUAUAGAAUAAGGUAAGACUAAGAUAGGAUAAGUUAAGGUUAAAUUAAGAUAGUAUGACAAGAUUACAUAGGAUAAGACUAAGAAUAGUUUAAGAUAAGAUUGUAUAACAUAAGAUAACAUAGAAUAAGAUAAGACUAAGAUAGGGUAAGUUAAGAUAAGAUUAUAUAAUAUGCAAUAACACAGGAUAAGAUAAGAUAGGUUUGUCAGGGACUGUACUGUUCCUAUCCUGCCCUUCAUUCCCCAAAUGGGGGGGGCACGAGGUUAAUAUAAAGUUGUAUAAUUUUAGUUUUUAGUUUUCUUAUUCUUCUAUUUGUAUUAAAUAAAUAUGGAUUAUUUUGAGUA
Molecule: RNA transcript, 2061 nt
Organism: Brienomyrus brachyistius
Lineage: Eukaryota; Metazoa; Chordata; Actinopteri; Osteoglossiformes; Mormyridae
Exons: 3
Source: RefSeq, a predicted model, not a curated record